AAAUUGAAGAGUUUGAUCAUGGCUCAGAUUGAACGCUGGCGGCAGGCCUAACACAUGCAAGUCGAACGGUAACAGGAAGCAGCUUGCUGUUUCGCUGACGAGUGGCGGACGGGUGAGUAAUGUCUGGGAAACUGCCUGAUGGAGGGGGAUAACUACUGGAAACGGUAGCUAAUACCGCAUAACGUCGCAAGACCAAAGAGGGGGACCUUCGGGCCUCUUGCCAUCGGAUGUGCCCAGAUGGGAUUAGCUUGUUGGUGGGGUAACGGCUCACCAAGGCGACGAUCCCUAGCUGGUCUGAGAGGAUGACCAGCCACACUGGAACUGAGACACGGUCCAGACUCCUACGGGAGGCAGCAGUGGGGAAUAUUGCACAAUGGGCGCAAGCCUGAUGCAGCCAUGCCGCGUGUAUGAAGAAGGCCUUCGGGUUGUAAAGUACUUUCAGCGGGGAGGAAGGGAGUAAAGUUAAUACCUUUGCUCAUUGACGUUACCCGCAGAAGAAGCACCGGCUAACUCCGUGCCAGCAGCCGCGGUAAUACGGAGGGUGCAAGCGUUAAUCGGAAUUACUGGGCGUAAAGCGCACGCAGGCGGUUUGUUAAGUCAGAUGUGAAAUCCCCGGGCUCAACCUGGGAACUGCAUCUGAUACUGGCAAGCUUGAGUCUCGUAGAGGGGGGUAGAAUUCCAGGUGUAGCGGUGAAAUGCGUAGAGAUCUGGAGGAAUACCGGUGGCGAAGGCGGCCCCCUGGACGAAGACUGACGCUCAGGUGCGAAAGCGUGGGGAGCAAACAGGAUUAGAUACCCUGGUAGUCCACGCCGUAAACGAUGUCGACUUGGAGGUUGUGCCCUUGAGGCGUGGCUUCCGGAGCUAACGCGUUAAGUCGACCGCCUGGGGAGUACGGCCGCAAGGUUAAAACUCAAAUGAAUUGACGGGGGCCCGCACAAGCGGUGGAGCAUGUGGUUUAAUUCGAUGCAACGCGAAGAACCUUACCUGGUCUUGACAUCCACGGAAGUUUUCAGAGAUGAGAAUGUGCCUUCGGGAACCGUGAGACAGGUGCUGCAUGGCUGUCGUCAGCUCGUGUUGUGAAAUGUUGGGUUAAGUCCCGCAACGAGCGCAACCCUUAUCCUUUGUUGCCAGCGGUCCGGCCGGGAACUCAAAGGAGACUGCCAGUGAUAAACUGGAGGAAGGUGGGGAUGACGUCAAGUCAUCAUGGCCCUUACGACCAGGGCUACACACGUGCUACAAUGGCGCAUACAAAGAGAAGCGACCUCGCGAGAGCAAGCGGACCUCAUAAAGUGCGUCGUAGUCCGGAUUGGAGUCUGCAACUCGACUCCAUGAAGUCGGAAUCGCUAGUAAUCGUGGAUCAGAAUGCCACGGUGAAUACGUUCCCGGGCCUUGUACACACCGCCCGUCACACCAUGGGAGUGGGUUGCAAAAGAAGUAGGUAGCUUAACCUUCGGGAGGGCGCUUACCACUUUGUGAUUCAUGACUGGGGUGAAGUCGUAACAAGGUAACCGUAGGGGAACCUGCGGUUGGAUCACCUCCUUACCUUAAAGAAGC
RNAcentral lists this ribosomal RNA (1554 nucleotides) under Escherichia coli. Its description in RNAcentral is "bacterial SSU rRNA". It matches the Rfam family "Bacterial small subunit ribosomal RNA". Lineage: Bacteria; Pseudomonadati; Pseudomonadota; Gammaproteobacteria; Enterobacterales; Enterobacteriaceae. RNAcentral also lists the same sequence under 4 other names. The record is from RNAcentral.